Molecule: ribosomal RNA, 552 nt
Filed under: uncultured Paraglomus
Lineage: Eukaryota; Fungi; Glomeromycota; Glomeromycetes; Paraglomerales; Paraglomeraceae
Description: SSU rRNA
Rfam family: Eukaryotic small subunit ribosomal RNA
Source: RNAcentral
UUGGAGGGCAAGUCUGGUGCCAGCAGCCGCGGUAAUUCCAGCUCCAAUAGCGUAUAUUAAAGUUGUUGCAGUUAAAAAGCUCGUAGUUGAAUUUCAGGCCUGGCUGGACGGUCCGCCCUUCGGGUGAGUACUGUCUGUGGUCGGGUCCUACCUUCUGGCGAAGCGUCAUGGCCUUAACCGGCCGUGGCGGGGAACCAGGACUUUUACUGUGAAAAAAUUAGAGUGUUCAAAGCAGGCCUUCGCUCGAAUAUAUUAGCAUGGAAUAAUAGAAUAGGACGUAUGGUUCUAUUUUGUUGGUUUCUAGGACCGUCGUAAUGAUUAAUAGGGACAGUCGGGGGCAUCAGUAUUCAGUUGUCAGAGGUGAAAUUCUUGGAUUUACUGAAGACUAACUACUGCGAAAGCAUCUGCCAAGGAUGUUUUCAUUAAUCAAGAACGAAAGUUAGGGGAUCGAAGACGAUCAGAUACCGUCGUAGUCUUAACCAUAAACUAUGCCGACUAGGGAUCGAGCGAUGUUCUAUUUUGACUCGCUCGGCACCCUAUGGGAAACCAAAG